This 1404-nucleotide ribosomal RNA is filed under the name uncultured bacterium. Its description in RNAcentral is "partial 16S ribosomal RNA". It matches the Rfam family "Bacterial small subunit ribosomal RNA". The record is from RNAcentral.
AGAGUUUGAUCCUGGCUCAGGAUGACCUCUAGCGGCAGGCUUAACACAUGCAAGUCGAGGGGCAGCGGGGAGGAAGCUUGCUUUCUCCGCCGGCGACCGGCGCACGGGUGAGUAACACGUAUGCAACCUGCCCCUGUCAGGGGGACAACCCGCCGAAAGGCGGGCUAAACCCGCGUACAUGCCACCGGGGCAUCCCGGAGGCAGGAAAGGCUUCGGCCGGACAGGGAUGGGCAUGCGGCGCAUUAGGCAGUAGGCGGGGUAACGGCCCACCUAACCGACGAUGCGUAGGGGUUCUGAGAGGAAGGUCCCCCACACUGGUACUGAGACACGGACCAGACUCCUACGGGAGGCAGCAGUGAGGAAUAUUGGUCAAUGGUCGGGAGACUGAACCAGCCAAGCCGCGUGAGGGAGGAAGGUACAGAGUAUCGUAAACCUCUUUUGUCAGGGAACAAAGGCGGGGACGUGUCCCCGGAUGAGUGUACCUGAAGAAAAAGCAUCGGCUAACUCCGUGCCAGCAGCCGCGGUAAUACGGAGGAUGCGAGCGUUAUCCGGAUUUAUUGGGUUUAAAGGGUGCGCAGGCGGUCUGUUAAGUCAGCGGUCAAAGCCCGGGGCUCAACCCCGGCCCGCCGUUGAAACUGGCAGUCUCGAGUUGGAGAGAAGUAUGCGGAAUGCGCGGUGUAGCGGUGAAAUGCAUAGAUAUCGCGCAGAACUCCGAUUGCGAAGGCAGCAUGCCGGCUCCACACUGACGCUGAGGCACGAAAGCGUGGGUAUCGAACAGGAUUAGAUACCCUGGUAGUCCACGCAGUAAACGAUGAAUGCUGGCUGUCCGGGGGGAUUGACCCCUGGGUGGCGAAGCGAAAGCGAUAAGCAUUCCACCUGGGGAGUACGCCGGCAACGGUGAAACUCAAAGGAAUUGACGGGGGCCCGCACAAGCGGAGGAACAUGUGGUUUAAUUCGAUGAUACGCGAGGAACCUUACCCGGGCUCAAACGGGGAGUGACUCAGGCAGAGACGCCUGUUUCCCACGGGACACUCCCCGAGGUGCUGCAUGGUUGUCGUCAGCUCGUGCCGUGAGGUGUCGGCUUAAGUGCCAUAACGAGCGCAACCCCCGCGUGCAGUUGCUAACAGAUAACGCUGAGGACUCCGCACGGACUGCCGGCGCAAGCCGCGAGGAAGGCGGGGAUGACGUCAAAUCAGCACGGCCCUUACGUCCGGGGCGACACACGUGUUACAAUGGGUGGUACAGCGGGAAGCCAGGCGGCGACGCCGAGCGGAACCCGAAAUCCACUCUCAGUUCGGAUCGGAGUCUGCAACCCGACUCCGUGAAGCUGGAUUCGCUAGUAAUCGCGCAUCAGCCAUGGCGCGGUGAAUACGUUCCCGGGCCUUGCACACACCGCCCGUCAAG